This 253-nucleotide ribosomal RNA is filed under the name uncultured bacterium. RNAcentral describes it as "partial 16S ribosomal RNA". It matches the Rfam family "Bacterial small subunit ribosomal RNA", at positions 524 to 776 of the family's 1533-position model. The record is from RNAcentral.
UACGUAGGGUGCAAGCGUUAAUCGGAAUUACUGGGCGUAAAGCGCGUGUAGGCGGCUCUGCAAGUCGGAUGUGAAAUCCCACGGCUCAACCAUGGAAGUGCAUUCGAAACUGCAGGGCUAGAGUCCUGGAGAGGAAGGUGGAAUGCUUGGUGUAGAGGUGAAAUUCGUAGAUAUCAAGCGGAACACCGGUGGCGAAGGCGGCCUUCUGGACAGUGACUGACGCUGAGACGCGAAAGCGUGGGGAGCAAACAGG